This 540-nucleotide ribosomal RNA is filed under the name Triticum aestivum (bread wheat). RNAcentral describes it as "partial small subunit ribosomal RNA". The record is from RNAcentral. Lineage: Eukaryota; Viridiplantae; Streptophyta; Magnoliopsida; Poales; Poaceae.
AUGGUGCUUUCCUACAGCACGAACCUUCGUUCCGCGCAGGACCAGCGAGCGAUGUGGGUGAUUCCUCUUCGGCGACUGUCUGGCCAACCAUGUCAAUCCGCUAGCAACCUUAGUCUCAAGUUAUGGCAGGAGAACAUUCAUAUUGAGUCUGUCCCGUCGCACAUCAAGUCUUUGUCUUUGUGUGAGCAACAAGGGAAUCAUAACGAGUUUGAUUUCCUUCGGUUCAUCGAGGAGAAUGCACUGAAACCAGAGAGGUUGUUCAUCGUCAUGAAAAAAGACCUAACCUACAGCGAGAGGCAAGUGGUGGUUGUUGUUAAACUGAUGGAUCUUAGUUAUGCUAAUUUGGCUAGUAGAGACUGCAAGUGCCUGCAUAUUUGGACGCCCCAGAUUUGUCUUAUGAUGAUCCCUUUUACUGCCUCUGUACUUAAACGUGCCUUGGUCGCCCAAGAUUUUGAUAGAACUGCAAGUGUUCUGUUUGCAGUAUCCAUUCCUGUACAUACUUCUCUUGUCUGGGCAGAGUUUUGUUGGAUAGAGUUCUAA